CACAUCUGGAGUACUGUGUCCAGUUCUGGGCUCCUCAGCACAAGAGAGACAUGGAGCUCCUAGAGUGGGUCUAGCAGAGGGUGACAAAGAUGACGAAGGGACAGAAGCAUCUCUCUUCUGAGGAUAGGCUGGGAGAGUUGGGCCUGUUCAGCCUCUUGAAGAGACAGCUGCGGGGGAACCUCAACAAUAUCUUUUUUCAGAUAUUCAGACAUGAUCCAGGACCUGAAUAGCUGCAUGUUUCACUAUAGUCAAGGUAUCACAAUUUCCUGCAGGAUCUUGGUUAGCAAGACACACUUAUUACCAAGAAAUUACAUUGCCACAGAUGAUGAAAUCCUGCAAGAAGG
Corapipo altera (White-ruffed manakin) is the source of this 344-nucleotide long non-coding RNA. RefSeq lists it as uncharacterized. The transcript is spliced from 3 exons. Lineage: Eukaryota; Metazoa; Chordata; Aves; Passeriformes; Pipridae. The record is from RefSeq and is a predicted model, not a curated record.